This 800-nucleotide ribosomal RNA is filed under the name uncultured bacterium. Its description in RNAcentral is "bacterial SSU rRNA". It matches the Rfam family "Bacterial small subunit ribosomal RNA", at positions 51 to 842 of the family's 1533-position model. The record is from RNAcentral.
ACACAUGCAAGUCGAGGGGAAACGGCAUUAAGUGCUUGCACUUUUUGGACGUCGACCGGCGCACGGGUGAGUAACGCGUAUCCAACCUGCCCCUUACCAGGGAAUAACCCGUUGAAAGACGGACUAAUGCCCUAUGCAGUCCUUUGACGGCAUCAGAUUAGGACUAAAGAUUCAUCGGUAUGGGAUGGGGAUGCGUCUGAUUAGCUUGUUGGCGGGGUAACGGCCCACCAAGGCACCGAUCAGUAGGGGUUCUGAGAGGAAGGUCCCCCACAUAGGAACUGAGGCACGGUCCUAACUCCUACGGGAGGCAGCAGUGAGGAAUAUUGGUCAAUGGGCGCUAGCCUGAACCAGCCAAGUAGCGUGCAGGAUGACGGCCCUAUGGGUUGUAAACUGCUUUUAUGCGGGGAUAAAGUCACCCACGUGUGGGUGUUUGCAGGUACCGCAUGAAUAAGGACCGGCUAAUUCCGUGCCAGCAGCCGCGGUAAUACGGAAGGUCCGGGCGUUAUCCGGAUUUAUUGGGUUUAAAGGGAGUGUAGGCGGCCUGUUAAGCGUGUUGUGAAAUGUAGAUGCUCAACAUCUGAACUGCAGCGCGAACUGGCUGGCUUGAGUACACGCAACGUGGGCGGAAUUCAUGGUGUAGCGGUGAAAUGCUUAGAUAUCAUGAGGAACUCCUAUUGCGAAGGCAGCUCACGGGAGUGUCACUGACGCUUAAGCUCGAAGGUGCGGGUAUCAAACAGGAUUAGAUACCCUGGUAGUCCGCACGGUAAACGAUGGAUGCCCGCUGUUGGCGCUUUGCGUCA